GACGAACGCUGGCGGCGUGCCUAAUACAUGCAAGUCGAGCGAACGGACGAGAAGCUUGCUUCUCUGAUGUUAGCGGCGGACGGGUGAGUAACACGUGGAUAACCUACCUAUAAGACUGGGAUAACUUCGGGAAACCGGAGCUAAUACCGGAUAAUAUUUUGAACCGCAUGGUUCAAAAGUGAAAGACGGUCUUGCUGUCACUUAUAGAUGGAUCCGCGCUGCAUUAGCUAGUUGGUAAGGUAACGGCUUACCAAGGCAACGAUGCAUAGCCGACCUGAGAGGGUGAUCGGCCACACUGGAACUGAGACACGGUCCAGACUCCUACGGGAGGCAGCAGUAGGGAAUCUUCCGCAAUGGGCGAAAGCCUGACGGAGCAACGCCGCGUGAGUGAUGAAGGUCUUCGGAUCGUAAAACUCUGUUAUUAGGGAAGAACAUAUGUGUAAGUAACUGUGCACAUCUUGACGGUACCUAAUCAGAAAGCCACGGCUAACUACGCG
This 497-nucleotide ribosomal RNA is filed under the name uncultured bacterium. RNAcentral describes it as "partial 16S ribosomal RNA". It matches the Rfam family "Bacterial small subunit ribosomal RNA", at positions 28 to 507 of the family's 1533-position model. The record is from RNAcentral.